GGAGGGGUGGCUGAGUGGUCGAAGGCGCCGGUCUUGAAAACCGGAGUGCCCGUAAGGGCACCGUGGGUUCGAAUCCCACCCCCUCCGCCA
Molecule: transfer RNA, 90 nt
Filed under: Candidatus Vogelbacteria bacterium
Lineage: Bacteria; Candidatus Vogeliibacteriota
Description: tRNA-Ser
Rfam family: tRNA
About the family: Transfer RNA (tRNA) molecules are approximately 80 nucleotides in length. Their secondary structure includes four short double-helical elements and three loops (D, anti-codon, and T loops).
Source: RNAcentral